RNAcentral lists this long non-coding RNA (359 nucleotides) under Rattus norvegicus (Norway rat). RNAcentral describes it as "long non-coding RNA NONRATT030516". The record is from RNAcentral. Lineage: Eukaryota; Metazoa; Chordata; Mammalia; Rodentia; Muridae.
GAAGGCACCUCUUCGUUCCACACCCGUCAGAAAUCUGAGGGUGGAGUAUACCAUGACCCACACUCUGACGACGGCACGGCUCCCAAAGAAAAUCGGCAUCUGUACAAUGAUCCUGUCCCAAGGAGAGUUGGUAGCUUUUAUAGAGUGCCAUCUCCACGACCAGACAAUUCUUUCCAUGAAAAUAAUGUGUCCACUCGAGUUUCUUCUCUGCCAUCGGAUAGUAGUUCUGGCACAAAUCAUUCAAAAAGACAACCAGGAUUUGAUCCGUGGAAAAGUCCUGAAAACAUUAGUCAUUCCGAUCAACUCAAAGAAAAGGAGAAGCAAGGCUUUUUCAGGUCAAUGAAAAAGAAAAAGAAGAA